Molecule: ribosomal RNA, 120 nt
Filed under: Oreochromis niloticus (Nile tilapia)
Lineage: Eukaryota; Metazoa; Chordata; Actinopteri; Cichliformes; Cichlidae
Source: RNAcentral
GCUUACGGCCAUACCACCCUGAAACACGCCCGAUCUCGUCUGAUCUCGGAAGCUAAGCAGGGUCGGGCCUGGUCAGUACUUGGAUGGGGAGACCGCCUGGAAUACCAGGUGCUGUAAAGC